RNAcentral lists this ribosomal RNA (714 nucleotides) under uncultured bacterium. Its description in RNAcentral is "bacterial SSU rRNA". It matches the Rfam family "Bacterial small subunit ribosomal RNA", at positions 778 to 1508 of the family's 1533-position model. The record is from RNAcentral.
UUAGAUACCCUGGUAGUCCACACAGUAAACGAUGAAUACUCGCUGUUGGCGAUACAAUGUCAGCGGCCAAGCGAAAGCAUUAAGUAUUCCACCUGGGGAGUACGCCGGCAACGGUGAAACUCAAAGGAAUUGACGGGGGCCCGCACAAGCGGAGGAACAUGUGGUUUAAUUCGAUGAUACGCGAGGAACCUUACCCGGGCUUAAAUUGCAACUGACGGACUUGGAAACAGGUCUUUCUUCGGACAGUUGUGAAGGUGCUGCAUGGUUGUCGUCAGCUCGUGCCGUGAGGUGUCGGCUUAAGUGCCAUAACGAGCGCAACCCUUACCGACAGUUACCAUCAGGUAACGCUGGGGACUCUGUCGGGACUGCCGUCGUAAGAUGUGAGGAAGGUGGGGAUGACGUCAAAUCAGCACGGCCCUUACGUCCGGGGCUACACACGUGUUACAAUGGGGGGUACAGAAGGCAGCUACACGGCGACGUGAUGCUAAUCCCAAAAGCCUCUCUCAGUUCGGAUUGGAGUCUGCAACCCGACUCCAUGAAGCUGGAUUCGCUAGUAAUCGCGCAUCAGCCACGGCGCGGUGAAUACGUUCCCGGGCCUUGUCACACCGNCCGUCAAGCCAUGAAAGCCGGGGGUACCUGAAGUGCGUAACCGCAAGGAGCGCCCUAGGUAAAACUGGUGAUUGGGGCUAAGUCGUUACAAGUAAGCCCGAUUCC